GUUAUCUCCCUUCAGUUUGCCUCUGGUCGCUGUUACGUGAGGACGUUAACAGCAUCAUCGGGUGCGUUAUCACUUAUCAGCAACCACGGGCAGUGCCUAGAUUUUAGGCACAUAACUACCUACUUUUUUUUUUUUUUUUUAGCACAACUUGCCAUCAGAACAUGCAGAAGACUUCUAUAGAUUUAACGUUGAUACCGUGAUGAAAGUGUAACGUAGGGUAGGUGAAGAUGUGUGUGGUUUUUGUGGCGCCUCGAGCAACGCAUAGAAGAUCGGUAUGUGAUGGGUAAAAUACCCUUUUCUUACUCUUAGCUGUGGCAUUAGUGGAGACGCAGAGUCCGACAGGCGUUUCUGACUAUCUCGUACCCACGAUAGAGUGUAUGUCAGCUUUUAGUAUGUCUUUUGUGCGAAGUUACAGGAGUCUUUAUGAGGGAAAGGGGGAAAGCCGUGGCCCUUGUGGGGAACUUGGGGAUUCUGUGCGCGCGGGUUGGGAUACAGCUUCGGUCUGGUGCGAGAUUGUUCAGUGCGCCUGGUCUCCUUGUUCGCAAAAUUGUAUUUUUUUUAACCUCAAGAAUUAUAUGUAAUGUGUGCAUUGGGCUCUGUGUUCUUCGCUGGUCAGGAUUGCUGUGUGAUCGGGAUAGUGAAGGCCUCUUCUUGGAGCGGAUGUUGUGUUCCGAGCAGGGUUCUUCGCUCGCUGUGCCUCAGGUGCUAUUCAUUAGCUUUUAGCUUCAGGGAUUUUGUAGCUAUAUACGGUGUUCUGUGCUUACUGUGCAUUUUAGGAGCUUUCCUCCGUUUAACAUAAGUAAUUAAAAUCAGAUAAUGUAAUCUGGUGAUUAUAUAUAAAUAUUUUAAGACAUUCCGUAUACGAAUACGAUGAUUUUUUAAAUUAAAUGGAUCACUGGACAUGCGUCUGAUUUCUCAUUUUUACUGUCUCGUAUCUUCCCACGCAAUUUCAUAAAAUCUCAAAAAUCCAGAUAAAAACCAGUAUCUUCCCUGAAAUGCACAGUAGUGAUUCCUCUUGCUCUGUCCUUCCUUUUUAUAGAACGUAGUGUUUAGAGUAGUUCUCUCCGCAGCAUAGCUCAGGCUUAGUGUGCAAGGGUAUUAGCUUACUCUCUUAGCCUAGACAUAGUCCUAUAGUGUGCUGCACUGCCGGAAUCCAGGGAUGAAGAAACUUCCUGCUCGUCACUAGCGCUUAUAUAGAUAACCAAUAUAUUAAAAUUAACGUAGCCCAACUGCUGCGUGCAAUAGUUAAUGAUAGGUCGGGCACGCGACUGGAAGAGAGCAGCCAGCGGAUGGAGGAGCGGAAGGACUCGAUCGGAAAAGCCUGGAGGAGAGCUGAAAGGAGACAAGCCACGAAGAGCUGUAUAUCGUUACAAUUUAACUGUUAAUGCCACAGCAGUUGAAGUGUAUAUAGGACACGAGUAGUGUCAGGAUAUCGCGUGCAGCCGUAGCUGGUUAGGUGCAAGCUCAGCUAGGAUCGACAGGUAACGAAUUGCAGUGCGGUAUCUGUAGUGCACUGUGUAUGUCGCGAAAGGCAUAGGUACAGGAUAUUGUCUCAGUGGUUGCUGUAAAGAGGUUCUCCGCCACUAGAAUAUGAUCCAUUUCAGUGGAUGUCGUUCAUUUGGGCAUGUGCUAGGCUUAGCUCGGAUGUUUUCCGUUGGAUUAAAUCCCUUCACGAUAUUGAUAUUUGGUAUCGGUUCCGACACUGUGUCCUCUGUCCGUCUUUGUGGUUAGGUUUGCGCAUCGCAUGUGGUCGUCCAUGAAUGAGUUGGACAUUCCCUCAUAAGCUGGACGUUCCCUAAAGUUGUGCGUAUCAAGGGUCCAUUAUCAGUGGUCGAAUCUUGUGCAAUGCAUGUUCAGGUUGGUUAUUGGUUACCAGUUGCGUGGCGCGUCCGCUGAUAAGAAACGUCCUCCGACCUUCUGCGUUCUUUGGUUUGACUUCGGUUCUCUCUUAUCGGGAUAUCCCUAUCUUUCUCCACGUAAUGUCCUCCCAUUCUGGUCGUUAGCCUGUGUCGGAACCUUCUGCUUUUGAAUCUCGAACAGCACCACUGAGCAAUGUCAGAUAGGCUAGUGAGGUUUAGCUGUAAGAAUACCAUACUCUAUCGCGUUAAGUUGUAUGAGGAUUAGAAUAGGAGCACCUGGGGUACAGUGAUGAAAACGUGAGCCUGGCACAUGGCGUUCUUUCUGGAUUCACUCACACCUAAAUAAAUACGCCAUAAGUGAAACUCAUUUCUGGGUCUAUUUCUAUACCAGUAAUACUAGCAUAAAAUGUAAUAUUUACCGAUUACUCGUUUUUAUCAUAAAUUAAAAAAACGUUCAUGGCCAUGUGCGAGGCUCAUCACAUGGUCAGCUCUGUCUCGCUCAGCUAUGAUAAGUCUGAAAAUGACGCACUGGUCUCUGGGGUAUACGGGUUGGGUGAGAGGCUGUCCACGAAGAUAUACAUACAGCCGUAUAUAAUAAGGUUAGGUGCAGCUUUUAGCUUUACCAUUAGUUUGUCUGCAAAGACGAAGAAGGGCACGGCUCGCGGCGACAGUGAGGGGAGUCACACAUAUAUAUACUUUGGGAAUUACGAGUGUCAUGUACGCGAAUUCAUAUAGUGCUUGUGUAAUGAUGUUGUGGACCCCUAAAUAUAGCUACGAUAGCUCGCACCGCGUGGUACCCCGACAGAGGCACCUUCGCGGUCGUCUCUCGUCGGUAAGUAUGUCGGACACUAGGCUACGACUACCAUGGGGAAUACGUGGGAAUGGAAGGGUCGCCACCGUUAUACCGGCCUGUCCGCUGGUCUGGGUAGGUGUAGGCGCGAAACACUGGGACGGGCGCAUAUUUCUGGCAGCCGUUUAGGGCAGGGUAUGGAUUACUUAGGUAGACGGGAAAGCGGACGGGUGCGCACUGCGACCGGUUAGCUUUUAUGAUUGUAUUAAUGACAGCCGUGGCGGUGGCGGUCCUGAGGUGUCUUCUGUUCGGGAGUACGUAGGGAGUAAAGAUGGUUGUCGUUAUAGUGAGUAAGAUUUCGUCCCUGGGUUUUUCUGAGUGUGUUGCGUGUGUAGGUGUCAUAAAUGAUAGGGGAAUGACAGGAAAAGCGAGACAAUGGAAGGAGAUGGUUAUGAGUGGAAAUUAUUAGUUUAUACUAUAGCAAAAAAAAUUUGCGAAGUGUUGCUUUGACUUCGUAGUGUGACAAUUAGUAAUGUAAUUAAUUAAUAUAAACACGAUUCCACUCGUACACUAUAUCCUUCGAGGAACACUGGCCAAUCGGCCACUGGGAAACGCAACAGUAAGUUGUACCGCCGUGGGACAUUUCGCCGCGGACGUGGCGGCGCUGGAUGGAAGCACGGACCUCCCGCCGCUGGAACCCGCUAGCUCGGUCUCGAUUAGUGGUUAUCGGUGAGAGAGUCCACACCAGCGCGAGUGAGCACAUCUGCUGUGCUCGUGUCUUGGGUUCGUACCUUCGGGACGAGUCUCUGGCCGUGGAUGAUCCCUCCGUAUAGCUGCUGAUCGCCACACACAUAUGCACACAUAUAUCUCAUUUAUGUUUAACUGUAUCUUCGUAUGCGGUCGAGCCUAGAUCCUCUCCAAACAUGUGUGUGUGUUAGGCGGUGGAGUUGGACUGCUCGGCAUAGAUGCCCGCCCGUGUUAGGCUUAGCUCGCGUACGUUCUCUUUCAGUGCGAACAUAGCGAUUGAAUAGAAAUAAAAAUUGAAGUGUGUUUUAAUGUGUGAUGUUUGGAAAAAAAAGUGUGUCUGUGUCUCUUUACUCGUCUUAUGUAUUGCUGGGCGGGAUUCAAUAUAUAAUAUAAUAUAUAUAUAAUAUAAUAUAAUUAAUAAUAUAUAUAUAAUAAUAUAAUAUAAUUAAUAAUAUAUAUAUAAUAUAAUAUAAUUAAUAAUAUAUAUAUAAUAAUAUAAUAUAAUUAAUAAUAUAUAUAUAAUAAUAUAUAUAUAAUGUAUAUAAUUUUUUUUGCAACUAUAUAUAUCGAAUCGUCCUCGGCGAAGGAUUGACGGCGCGCGUGCGAGUCGGCUUAUCGCUAUAGCUUGGCUGGAUUAAUUUGCGGCUGCUGUACUAACCUCUUCCUCCUUUUCAGCAUUUCCACAUUGUUUCGAUGUGGUACACUAAUCGUUCUGCUUGUAUUUUUCAGGUUCUCACCAUAUAUUUCCCCAUAUUAUGUUUUAAUUUAUCCGCUAUGUUUCGCUGGAACUGUCUCCCAUGCAAUUGGUUGCCCGUCGAGAAUAAUGUGUCAAGGACACAGGAAUUGGAGGAACUGUUUAUUCAGGCUCUAGAGCUAGAAGCGAGAGCAAUGGACGAACGAGAUAAUGAUGAUAGCACAUCUUGUGCCUCACAAUGGCAACAAUUCAGAGAUUUUAUUUGAGAGAUAUAUUCAACCACAGGAAGUAUUUGGGACCAGAAGAAACUUGCUUUAAAAAAAAAUUAUAAUUGAUAAUGAUAAGUAGGUUAGAUAUGGGUGUGGUGUUCCUUUUUGGUUUUUCUUUUUCGUUUUCCAGAGUGGUGGUUCCAGCAGCCCAUGAUCUCGGAAGAUACCUGACUAUGGAGUGCAGCCGUUGGUUCUCUAUCAUGAACAGAUGUGGUGAUAUUUUUCCUUUUCUUUUCUUUCGUAAGAUUAGAAGGCAGCCAAGAUUCUAUACUGAAACGCCUCUGAGGCUUCUGGAAGAAAAUGCUCCAUGGAAGAAAAUGAUUGCUGCACCUUUAGGAUAGGUUGAACCCUCAUGCAAUUAGUUGCCCAUCAAGAGCAAUAUUGUGACAAGGACACACAGAGAUCGGAGGAACUGUUUAUUGAGAUCAGAGUAGCUAGAAGAAGCAAGAGACCAAGGGAACAAACGAGAUAUGAUGCUCACGAUAGCACUUCUGCCUCAUAAUAUCAACAAGUCGGAGCUUUUACUCAUUGAGAUAUAUUCAACAACAGCAAGAACUUUGGACCAGAGGAAGAAGAAACUGACUUUUUAAAAAAAUCAUUUUUGUAAUAUAUAAUGUUAAGUAGGCUAGAUAUGGGUGUGGUGUUCCUUUUUGGUUUUUCUUUUUCAUUUUCCAGAGUGGUGGUUCCAGCAGCCCAUGAUCUCGGAAGAUACCUGACUAUGGAGUGCAGCCGUUGGUUCUCUAUCAUCAACAGAUGUGGUGAUAUUUUUUCUUUUCUUUCGUAAGAUUAGAAGGCAGCCAAGAUUCUAUACUGAAACGCCUCUGAGGCUUCUGGAAGAAAAUGCUCCAUGGAAGAAAAUGAUUGCUGCAUCUUUAGGAUAGGUUGAACUCUCAUGCAAUUAGUUGCCCAUCAAGAGCAGUAUUGUGGCAAGGACACAGAAAUGGGAGGCUUAUUGAGGCAGGACAGACCGCUCUGCAUAAUUUCCACCAGAAUUAAUCACUUGGUGAUGAACAAUGGUGAACAACAAUGAAUGUCGACCAACAUAAAACAAGGCGAGAUAGCUGGUGUGUAGAUGAAAUGGGCAUCAUUUUCUCGAGCCUGAAAAGCAAAGGGCACUGACAGAACGAACUGGACACUGGGAAUGAACGGACUGAACUGACCAUUGAGGAUAAUUUUAUGGCUGCCACUUCACAGUUCAUAGAUUAAUGAGCAUUCUUAAAGGCCAGGCAUUUUAAAAUGCUUUGUUUCGCUGUUUCUGACCUUUUUCUAUUUCAGAAGCAAAUACAACUGGAGCCAUAUCAAGCACAUCUAGCAUCUUCCCUGCUUCGCUUAACUGGCCUUUGGAAGCUUUGGACACAGGGGCGACUAGCUCGGACUUCCCACGGGGGCAAAUCGAAGUGUAUCUGUGGGAGUGCAGCCAAAGGAGACAGUGAGACUGCAGGUCUUUCCGAAGAGCCAGGAGCGCGGGGACUACCGGACUCCAUCAACGGUACAACAUCGAAGUGUCAACCUCAAGUGAACAUGUACUCGUGGAUAUUGUCUUUGUGCUUCAAGCACCUUCAGUCAACAGCUACAUGUCAUCCCACAGGACGUAACGCUGCAACUGCUUAGCACACUAUGGACAACAUAUUGUUAUAUUGUUGUGUGGUUUAGGUUUAUAGUGUGUGUGACAAGUAUGCAAUUGUUUUGUAUCAUGAACAAACUUGACCAGCGGAGCUGGGAGGUAUGGGGCAUUGCUCUGUACCGGCUGCACCUUCUGCUGGUUUUCCUGGGUUUUCCUCGCAGACAGAGACGAAUGUGGGUGCAGUUCCCAUAAAGUCGGCUCAGGACGCACUUUCAUCCCCCCAAUGGCGGCAACCGCAUGCCUUGGACGUAAUCCUGCUCUAAACGUCCAUGACGCAUCUUUUGCGUUCCCUUUAAGCUUCACUGCGACAUGGCUCGCACCGUGCAAAUGACAGUCGACCAUUUUGCAUGUUGCGUGGAUGUUUUGAAUGUGUGUGCAUGUCACGUGCGCACGUUGUACAUACCAAACCAGGACCCCCACCAAAUUAAAGUCGAGGAAACAAAUGAAUCGUUACUUUUAGCCAGUACAAAUUUAUUCAAUCAAUCAGUCGCAAAGAUUCUGGUAUGGUAUUGCAACAGGCACGUGUCUGUGUGUGUAGCAUGUGCGUGUAUGUGCAUGAGCGUACGUACGCAAAUGUUGGUCUGUUUUUAACUCUACUAAACUGCCGUGGUUGAAUGUCAUUUGCCGGGUGGACUUUGCUGCAGUGAAGCCAUUAUUCGGUUCGGUUAUUUCAAAUGGUCAGGUUGGAUCCGCCUGGUUAUUUGAAAAGCAAUUUUUAAAUUACACCCUCGACGCUGUGUGUGCCUUCACAUGCACUAUGUUAUGGUUAAAUAAUGUGCAAGGAUUUCUUUCUGAUAUUGAAUAGUUCAUUGGGAGUGUUUCAGUGAUGUGUAUUUUGUACAUGCUGAUGCUAUCUGAUUAUUGCGUGAGAUUUCUGUGUAUUAAGUAGUUCAUUUUGUAUGUGCUGAUGCUAUCUAAUGUAUAAUCGACUGGUUGUGUAUUAAAUGUGUGUGAUUUUCAUCUUUCUGUACAUUAAAUUUCAGGUGCUUUGUCUCUCUUCACUUAGUGUUCUGUGUGUUGAAUGCCAGUAAUGUAGCCAGAAAAAUAUUUCUAGAGUUUGGUGAAAUCCUCCUCUGCAUGUGAAGUUACAUUUCCCUUUCCCAAAUGUACUACCAAAGGUGAGAGUGCAUUGUCAAUCCAGUAAGCAAAUACGGAUUGGCAGUUGUUAUAAAAACAUGGUUGUGAAUUGGAGAACUUGCAACACAUUGAGUAACUUUCUUGUCUAAUUUGAUAUGCAAGAAUGUGCAAGUGGUUUAUUUAGAUUUCAAAUACCCCAUGUUCCUCUGUGGAAUAGAAGUGUAGCAAAUCAUUUUUCAUGUGGAGGAUGUCUGCUUGCCAAAUCCACAAAGUAUGAAAAAAACAGCAGUUUUGAUUCUUUCAAAUGGUUUAGAAAAUCUGAUGUUCAUGUCCUAAAAAAAAAAAAAAUCUGCAUUGUGUCAAGCAUGUUAAAAUGUCUCGGCUUGUAGAGGUGGAACACUUUGGAAACUUUUUGCAAAAACUGUCAGUACUGAAAUCCUGUCAAUGACCUGUGAAAGUGCAUUUGGGGUAGGAUCUUUGUUGCAAGAGGUAACUGUUGAAGAUGAGAGAGGACAGAGGGAUGACGAUGGUGUUUAUUCCGUUCAAAGGAGCUAGAAUGAACGCAAUGUCUGUCA
Molecule: long non-coding RNA, 7635 nt
Organism: Ornithodoros turicata
Lineage: Eukaryota; Metazoa; Arthropoda; Arachnida; Ixodida; Argasidae
Exons: 3
Source: RefSeq, a predicted model, not a curated record